RNAcentral lists this ribosomal RNA (228 nucleotides) under uncultured bacterium. Its description in RNAcentral is "partial 16S ribosomal RNA". It matches the Rfam family "Bacterial small subunit ribosomal RNA", at positions 15 to 236 of the family's 1533-position model. The record is from RNAcentral.
GAUCAUGGCUCAGGAUGAACGCUAGCUACAGGCUUAACACAUGCAAGUCGAGGGGAAGCAUGUUGGUUGCUUGCAACCAAUGAUGGCGACCGGCGCACGGGUGAGUAACGCGUAUCCAACCUACCCUUGUCCAUCGGAUAACCCGUCGAAAGGCGGCCUAACACGAUAUGCGGUUAACAGCAGGCAUCUAACGUGAACGAAAUGUGAAGGAGAAGGAUGGGGAUGCGU